This 6637-nucleotide long non-coding RNA is filed under the name Equus caballus (horse). Its description in RNAcentral is "lncRNA (ENSECAG00000038177.3)". The record is from RNAcentral. Lineage: Eukaryota; Metazoa; Chordata; Mammalia; Perissodactyla; Equidae.
GGGACCUUGUUUGCUCUGGCAGACAGGGAGCCCAUUCAGAGCCCGCGGGGUGGCCCAGGCAGAGUCUGGCCGGGGAGCAUGGCCCCUACGUCUGAGGGAGGCUCCAGUCCGUCCGCAGAGGACGAGGCCGUGGGUUCGAGAAAUCCUCGUAGUGCUUCCUAGAGUUAACGCGGGCCCAGAAGCAUUACCAGUUCCAAGAUAUUUUGCAAAUAUUCUGGAACACAUUAGCAGAGGAAGGAGUAACUUUUGGGAGUGUUAUAAACAGGUGUGGCAGAGACCGCAGCGCUCACAAUAUUUGACACCUGUGCUCCUCUCGUCCUCCUGGGCAACCACUGGACCACACCCCCAGCCUCCCUACAGUCAGAUGGAGCCACUGACUGGGUUCCGGCCAAAGAAAUGGGAGCAGACAUAAUAUGUGCCACGUCCAGACCUGGCCCACAAAAACCUCCCACACAACACAAAAAUUAACAAAAUGGAUCACAGACCUAAAAGUAAAACAUAAAACUUUUAAGAAAAAACUGAAGAAAAUCUUUGGGAUCCAGGGCUAGUCAAACAGUUCUUAGGCUCGAUAGAAAAUCACAACCCAUAAAAGGAAAUAAAUGGAGAGAUUAGCUUUCAUGCAAAUUAAAAACCUUUGUUCUUAGAAAGGUCCUGUUAAGAAGACAAGUUACAGACUGGGAGAAAACAUGUUCACCCCGUAUUUCCAGAUAUCUAGAAUACAUAAAGAACUCUCAAAACUCAAUAAGCAAAAAGCAAACAAUCCAAUCAGAAAAUGGGCAAAAGACAUGAAGAGAGAGUCUACCAAAGAGGAUACAGAGAAGCUAAUGAGCCCAUGAAAAGGUGUGCAAUGUUACUAACCAGCAGGGAAACACAAAUUAAAAUGACAGAUAGCAUCACACACCUAUGGGAUUAGCUCAAAUGAAAAACAGUGGCAACACUAAUGCUGGUAGGGUGUGCAGAAAUGGCCUCCCUCACACAUUGCUGGUGGGCCUGUCCAAUGGUAGGCCAUACUGGGACAGUUUGGCAGUUAAAACGACAAAACAUGCAACUCUCUUCCACCCCAGCGGUUACGCUCCUGAGCACUUAUCUCAGAGAAAUGAAGACUUGUGUUCACACAAAGACCUCUAUAAAAAUGUUUACAGCAGCUUUAUUCAUAGUAGCCCAAAACUGGAAACAACCCAGGUCUCCUUCGGUGGGUGAAUGGCUAAACAACCGUGGUCCAGCCACACCACAGCAUACUAUUCAGGAACAAAAAAGAACAAACUAUUGCUACAUGUAACGACCUGGAAGAACCUCCAGAAAAUUAUGCUGAGUGAAAAUAAUCUCAAAAAGUUAUGUGAUGUAUGAUUCCACAUAUAUAUAGUAUUAUUGAAAUGACUAUAGAAAUGGAGAACAGAUUACUGGUUGCCGGGGCUUAAGGUGGCGAUGGAGGUAGGAAGGAAGCAGGUGUGGCUAUAAAGGGGCAACCUGAGGGAUCCUUGUGGUGAUGGCCCUGUUCUCUCUCCUGACUAUAUCUGUGUCAGCAUUGGCUAUGAUAUCGUAGUAAAACUUUGCAAGAUGUUACCAUUGGGGGAAACUGAGUGAAGGGUCCACAGGAUCUUUCUGUAUUAUUUCUUACAACUUCAUAUAAAUCUACAAUUGUCUCAAAAUAAAAAGUUUAAUUACUGCUCCCCCUACAAAUACUCCUCCUCCACAUGAUCUUUGCCCUUUCCCCCUCCACUGGACAGAUGGAGACACUCCAAGGACUUUGAGGAGGGCAAGGCACAAGAAGAAAGGGGUCUGGGUCCCUGAAUGGCCGUGUGGAGGAGAGUCAGCCCCUCGCUGCCCCGUACUGAGCUGAGAUGUAAUCAAGAAAAAGCUGUUUUUGUGUUAAACCACUGACAGCUGGGGACUGUUUGUUACUGCAGUCACUCCUUACCCUGCUAAUGUCACAUUGGAGGAUCUGGGAUUUUAACCCAAAUUCAGGCUUCACAGGGAACCGACAAGUAUGCUGAUUUUUCCAUGAAACAAACUAUUUUGAUUUCUGGUGCGAAGAAAUUACCCUAUCUUCCAUCUGUGUGAAAACCGGGGAUCACCUCCUGCCUUCAGCACUUUCUGGCUUUUCGAGUUUGAGUCCAUCACUGGACUUCCCAAAGCCUCACUCUCCCGACUGCAAGACUAGGGAAUUGGGAAGGUGGGUGCAUGUCUGUGGAAUGACGGAGCGCUCUGUGCACGCAGAGAUCUGGGGGUGUGUCCAGCAGCCUCCUCUUUGUUCUCCAACAAAGUUCAUCCAACUCCUCUGGCCUCCAGGUUCUUCUGUCUUAGCCCCAGAGAGACCUUCUUUAAAAAUGAACCUGAUCAGUUGCUUUAGUUGACAAAUAACCACAACAACAAUGACAGAAAGAAAGUAAUGCUAUUAUUAAUAGUGACAGCAUCAUUUAUCAACCACCUACUGUGUUCCUAGUGAUACUUGCAGGCAACCUGUCUACCCUCGGGCUCGUGCUGGCGUUUCCCCGACCCUCCAGCUGCGACAGUGGUGGAGUGCUGCUCACAUCACGCCACCCCAACGUCCUCUCCUGCCUCCUCCUUCCACUGAUGAUCACGCUGGACUCAUGAUUCCACUGGGCCCAUCUGGAUGACCGACGAUAAUCUCCCCAUCUGACAGUCUGCUCGUGAGCAGCCUUAAUUCCACCGGCUGCCUCAGCUCCCUUUUGCCACGUCAGGGAGCAUACUCACAGGUUCCGGGGAGUAGGAAGUGGCCCUCAUACCUACCACACUGGUCCACGGCAGAAUGACAAAAAUGACAGUGUGCCGCUUUUCCCAUGAAGACAGUUUUUAAAAUUAUAAUUUUAAAAUGAUAUGCCUCUGAAUGUAUGCCUUCUCACUUUGGGGGGAUGGGCUGUUAAAUAUGAAAUGUAUCAAGUAUGAAAUGUCCUUUCGAGAAAAAAAGGAAAAGUUGGAAAACUGCAGUUUUCCUGGUCCAUGAAGUUCCAACUUGUGGGAAACGAUACUUUGGGCUAAGUAGUCCCACAGACGCACUCCCCAGAGCAUCACAGGCACGUGCCAGAGGCUGGCAGCUCGGGGUGCUGCUGCAGGCCUGGGGUCCUCCACGUUAUGGAAAUAUGAGGGUGCCAAUGACAGGUGCUUCUGAUCCCGUUCCGAUCGGCUCCCUGAUCAGGACACAUGUUGGGCUGAGGCGUGGGGCCCAGGCUGUCAGCAACCACAAGGUAGCCACAAGAGGUAGGCUCCUGUGACAUGUGUCACCCUCCAUCGCUGACAGGUGGGCCAAGGGGGACGUGUAUACACAUAUGCUUAUCUGAGUCUGGUGAGGUUCCAUGGAUGGGAUAAGAGGGCUGUGUGGUCUUUGACAAGUCAUUCAACCUCUCUGAGCCUGUUUCUGCAUCAUCAAUAAAAUACAGAGCAUAACACCUUCCUCAUGGGGCUUAUGAGGCUAAUGAGAUCCUAAAUGAGAAGAACUUCAUGUAGUCCACACAAAGAUUCUAUAUUUUAAAUAAACAAAGACCAGUUUUUACCUUACCUUGUGGAAAAUACUCUUCACAUGUUUGAGGGUUAAAAAUUACUGUAAUCUUUAAUAUAAUGUUUCAUGGUUUUUGCUGUUGUCAUUUUUCUUAGAGAAACAAGUUAAACCAGAAGCAACUUUAAAAAAUCUUCUAAGUCUGGUGGGCGUGUCCAAUGGUUUUGAUGUCAAGAUGAUGACAAAUUCUCUCCAGAGAUGGUAUAAAAUCCAACCAUUGACAAGCAGAAAUUCCUGGAAUCUUCUACCACUCUACAGCACUAGUCUAAAAGAACACAGCUUUUAGAACUAAACUGGGAUCCAUCCAUGGCAACAGGUGCAGAGGAACCCAAGGAGAAUGAAGGACCUGUCCGGUGAGCAUCUGCUGUGAGCCCACACUGUGCUGCGCAAGAAGGGGCCCUCAGGGAAGCACUGGAACAGCUCGCAAAGUGCUGCGCUGAAGCUAAGUUAAUCCUCUCCAUAGCCAUGUGAGCUAAGAAUUAUUUUCACUCCUCUCAGACAGAAGAGGAAACUGAGUCACAGGGGGAUUAAAAAACUUACCUGAGAUCACUGAGACAGAAAGAGGCCAAGCCAGGCUGCAGUCUGGCUCCAGGGCACAAGUCUCCAUCGCCACCCUCUACUACCUGCCUGUGGGGUCUGUGGUCCAGGCAGAGUCCAAAGGUUGGUCAGAUGUCUCAUUUCUUUUGCAGAGAAUAAAACCAAACACCAUAAGUAUGCAGUUAUGAAGUGGGCUGUUUUGUGACUCUUUGAUUUUGUUCAUCUUAAUUUGAGGGUUUAUCAAUCAGACCUGAGAGAUUUCAAACCUGAACUCAAACAAGGGACCACAGAGAUCUCUCUCCUAUCGUGUUUUCCACGUGGAGCAUCCCCACUCUCUCCCCCAGCCUUCUACAGCAUCAUCCCUCAGCAGAAUGAUAGUCCACAAGUAGCCUGUGUAGCUCUCAGAAACUGAUUUCUUACAUCCUACAUUUGAAGUCUGGAAUAUUAACCAAAUAGUGCUACCACCAAGGACAUGUUCAGUCUGUCCCUAAAGAGGGCUGGGAGUGUGGCUCACACUCACCAUGUAGUUCUUGCUUUCUUUGUAGGGGAGAUUAGCAGGCAAAAUUGCUUUUCUCUACUCCUCCACAGAGAUAAUUUAUCACUAUUGAAGAGUGGUAUGCUUCUCUACUUGCUUGGUUUGGAAUUGCAGCAGACAUCCAAACUUUUGCAAAAUUCCAUUGCUUUCUGCAUGGAAUGCAACUCAACGCAUCGAUGUCUUCCAUAGAGCAGAGCCAGAGCCAUGUUAGUAAUGGAAUCCUCAGAGCCCGCUGACACCCAGAGCCUUGCUGUUGACGGCCUCAGUUGCUCAAGUGCACGAUUGCACUUUACAGGUCUAAGGUCUUCCCUCAACCCCCGCCCUGCUCCAUCCAGCACAAGAAGAUGCAGUGCUCACUUGAUGGAAUUAAAACAUGCCAAAACCCCACAAAAGAAUGCAGGCUGGGUGUAGCACUCAUCUGCUAAGUAUGAAAUCUUUCCCUGAGUGAGUUCUCCACAAAUCAGGUCAGUCCCGACAGCCGACACUACCUUAGGCAGGGAGGGGCCGACGGCGCCAUUAAAAACUCCUGCCAGCGCUUGCCUCAGACAAUGUAAAUACAAAACUGGUGCUUGUGUUUAUUUAAAGUUAUUGGCAUUGGGCUCAUUCCUGGUAGACAAAGAUUAUAUUGUUUACAACAGCAUCCAGAUGAUGGACAAGACUUUGUAUAAUAUAAAUCGAACUAUGCAGGGGGGGCACCCCUUAGCAUAAACAACUUCCCUCAAGCAAAACAAAUCCUGCCAAGAUUCAAGCUGGAAUCCAUUUAUUACCCGACUUCAAGCUGACUUGUUUCAACAUUCAGCAACUGCAAAAGCAGAAGGAUAAGAACUGAUGUCCGAGGCAUUACCAGCCAGUCCUUUAACUUCUAACGCUUUUUGCAAAAGGUGUUUCUUGCUUUGUCAUGUUGCAAUGUACAUUUCCUGCAAAUGCUGUCAUUCUUGUCACUUCACAGCAUGGUGUGGCGGUGGACCAUGCAUGCAUAUAGAAGGUGAGCAGGAGCAAGGGGACACCCUGAAGAGUGCCACUGUCCUUUCAAAAGCAUUUGGGGGGCUGGCCCCCUGGCCGAGUGGUUAAGUUCGCGCGCGCUCCGCUGCAGGCGGCGUAGUGUUUCGUUGGUUUGAAUCCUGGGCGGGGACAUGACGCUGCUCAUCAAACCACGCUGAGGCAGCGUCCCACAUGCCACAAGUAGAAGGACCCACAACGAAGAAUAUGCAACUAUGUGCUGGGGGGCUUUGGGGAGAAAAAGGAAAAAAUAAAAUCUUUAAAAAAAAAAAAAAAGCAUUUGGCUCGGGUGUAAACCCAGAAUCGGGAAACAUAGUGAGGGUAAGGACACAGAGACAGAUAUUCAGACUUAGGGGUGAACGUACAGAGCUCCAGCGGACGCCAAAGCCUGCCAUGAGCCCUGUGGCUGCUGGGAUUCGGCCUUGCCUGGAAUUGGGGACAGGGCCUUGUUGAGAUUUAUUCACUUGGGAGCCGAAGGGCCUCCUGGGAAAGACUAACCCGAGUGAAGGCAGAAUCUAGCUACAAGACAGCCAGAGACUGUGAGUCGGCGGCAAAGGCCCUCGCAGGAACAAUCGUGCCUGGGAACACUGACCCCGAGAAGAAGGGGGUGUGCACAUGGGAAGGAGGAACAGCGGCGGUGAAGGUCACAGGGGGAGGCACCCAAGGAGUGAAGACACUGGGUGUGUGGUGAGGGAACACACAGGAGGAGGAUCUGGACGCUGCCUCAGCACUGGGGGCAGCGAGUGAGCGUCUAAAGCGAGCGCCUCGCUCCAGCUCCGCGCAGGAGACGGGAUCGAGGGAGGGAGGGCGGCCGGUGCGCUCAGACGCCCGCGUCCCUUCGGAGCCCUCUCCCUUCUCCGUGUGUGUCUCCGUCGGGUUAGGACUGUCUUUCCCUCAGGGCCCGCGGGGUGCUGCACACGGUGGGAUUCCGUGUCGUGGAGGGACUCCCUCGCUCCGUCGGCCCGCUUGCCCCCUGCUCUCCGCGGCUGCGCCAUCUUCCUCGCCCCCUUGGGGCGGCCGGCCUUCUGAGUGCCCGUCUUGGUUAUUUACAG